CUGCUGACGAUGCAGGUCAUCACAGCCGGAAUCAGCUCGUGCACCUGCAGGAGAAGCCCGCGUCAGCUCACUGUGACAGACGGUCCCCGAGCCUGGACGAGGGGUGGGCCGACAGGUCCACUCACGUAUUUCUCUAGGAGCCCACGCAGGCCUCAGUGAUCUCCUUGUAGUACAGCUGCUGCUCCACUGACAGCUCGUGGAUGCUUCGGGGCUUCAGUCGCAGAGGCGCCCCCUCCAGCAGGGGUGGCGCCUUCUUCUCUUUCCCUGUAAGUAAAGCUCCCGGCCGCCACCAGAGGCAAAACGGAAAGGAAUGAAUUCCUGAGCGUGGAAGCCAUACAGUGGCUACAACAGGAGGGAGAGAGAGACCCUGGAUGAGAAGGGAGCCCGCGCAGGCUGGGCGGAGUGCAGGAAGACCAGGGUACCUGCGCGAUCUCCUUGAUGCGGUAGCUGACCUCGUCCGUCAGCAGCUGGCAGGUCUCCUCCUGAAUCUGAGCGAUGCCCAUGGACUCGGCCACCACCUUCAUGGACUCCGAGG
Molecule: long non-coding RNA, 535 nt
Organism: Cervus elaphus (red deer)
Lineage: Eukaryota; Metazoa; Chordata; Mammalia; Artiodactyla; Cervidae
Exons: 4
Source: RefSeq, a predicted model, not a curated record